Molecule: unclassified non-coding RNA, 352 nt
Filed under: soil metagenome
Description: partial contains 5.8S ribosomal RNA, internal transcribed spacer 2, and large subunit ribosomal RNA
Rfam family: 5.8S ribosomal RNA (bases 1-120)
Source: RNAcentral
GAUGAAGAACGUAGCGAAAUGCGAUAAGUAAUGUGAAUUGCAGAAUUCAGUGAAUCAUCGAAUCUUUGAACGCACAUUGCGCCCGCCAGUAUUCUGGCGGGCGUGCCUGUUCGAGCGUCAUUACAACCCUCAGGCCCCCGGGCCUGGCGUUGGGGAUCGGCGGAGCCCCCCGUGGGCACACGCCGUCCCCCAAAUGCAGUGGCGGUCCCGCCGCAGCUUCCAUCGCGUAGUAGCUAACACCUCGCGACUGGAGAGCGGCGCGGCCACGCCGUAAAACACCCAACUCUUCUGAAGUUGACCUCGAAUCAGGUAGGAAUACCCGCUGAACUUAAGCAUAUCAAUAAGCGGAGGA